RNAcentral lists this ribosomal RNA (468 nucleotides) under uncultured bacterium. RNAcentral's name for it is "partial 16S ribosomal RNA". It matches the Rfam family "Bacterial small subunit ribosomal RNA", at positions 28 to 507 of the family's 1533-position model. The record is from RNAcentral.
GACGAACGCUGGCGGCGUGCUUAACACAUGCCAGUCGAACGGAAAGGCCCUGCUUUUGUGGGGUGCUCGAGUGGCGAACGGGUGAGUAACACGUGAGUAACCUGCCCUUGACUUUGGGAUAACUUCAGGAAACUGGGGCUAAUACCGGAUAGGAGCUCCUGCUGCAUGGUGGGGGUUGGAAAGUUUCGGCGGUUGGGGAUGGACUCGCGGCUUAUCAGCUUGUUGGUGGGGUAGUGGCUUACCAAGGCUUUGACGGGUAGCCGGCCUGAGAGGGUGACCGGCCACAUGGGGACUGAGGGACGGCCCAGACGCGUACGGGAGGCAGCAGUGGGGAGUAUUGCACAAUGGGCGGAAGCCUGAUGCAGCAACGCCGCGUGCGGGAUGACGGCCUUCGGGUUGUAAACCGCUUUCGCCGGUGACGAAGCGUGAGUGACGGUAAUGGGUAAAGAAGCACCGGCUAACUACGUG